UCACAAACGCCUUGCAAAGAAUUCUGAAUUUUAGAAGCUCUUUGCAGAACCCCCUUCAGCCCGCUCCAAGCUGCCUUGGGUCCCUUUCUAGGCUGUCAGACUUCGCCUUCCUUUCCUCCUUGUUUUUCCCAGCAACCAAAGCAUCUGAAGAACAUUUUUUUCCUCCGUAAAUCUGAACAAAUUUCCUUGCAGCUUUCCUUGCAGAAGCUUUUUUAUCGCUUUAACAAAACUUUCCUCUGCUUCUCUAGGGAGAGCCUAGUAUUAGAGCUGCCCGACAGGCGGGACCCCGAAAUCGGGGCAGCUCUGGCUUAGUCCAGGCUAUUCGAGUGGGCGCCUGAACUGGAGGCGCCGUCUCCACCGGGAUGGGGAUCCUAGUGCAGGCAGACGCCUGGCAGGACUCGGCGAGCUGGGGUCCCCACCGCGGUAGCCAGAGCAGAAACCCGAACCCCAGCCAGAGGGGCCGCGCGCGGGGAGGGGU
Molecule: long non-coding RNA, 478 nt
Filed under: Homo sapiens (human)
Lineage: Eukaryota; Metazoa; Chordata; Mammalia; Primates; Hominidae
Description: HSALNT0141732
Source: RNAcentral